UAGUGGCGAAAGGGUUAGUAAUAGAUGAAUGAUCUACCCUUAAGAUGGGAAUAACCUUUGGAAACAGAGGCUAAUACCUAAUGAGGUUGUUAUAUUUUUUAUAGGAAUCAAAGUGUACGCAAGUAUGCGCUUAGGGAGGAGUUCAUCGGAUAUCAGCUAGUUGGAGUGAUAAAAGCACCCCAAGGCGAAGACGUCUAGGCGGACUGAGAGGUUGACCGCCAACACUGGGACUGAGACACUGCCCAGACUUCUACGGAAGGCUGCAGUCGAGAAUCAUUCGCAAUGGGCGCAAGCCUGACGAUGCGACGCCGUGUGAACGAAGAAGGCCUUCGGGUUGUAAAGUUCUUUCGGGAAGGAACAAGUAUUUAUAUUGAUAGUACUUCCUAAAGAAGCACCGGCUAACUCCGUGCCAGCAGCUGCGGUAAUACGGAGGGUGCAAGCAUUAAUCGGAAUUAUUGGGCGUAAAGAGCGCGUAGGUGGUAUAGCAAGUCAGAGGUGAAAUAUCGAGGCUCAACCUCGAUGCUGUCUUUGAAACUGUUAAACUGGAGGUAAUUCGGGGAAAAUAGAAUUUCACAUGUAGCGGUGAAAUGCGUAGAUAUGUGAAGGAAUACCGGUGGCGAAAGCGGUUUUCCAGGAUUAACCUAACACUGAGGCGCGAAAGCAAGGGUAGCAAACAGGAUUAGAUACCCUGGUAGUCCUUGCCGUAAACGAUGUAUACUUGAUGUAUAGGGUCUCAACCCCCUGUGUGUCGAAGCUAACGUGAUAAGUAUACCGCCUGAGGAGUACACUCGCAAGUGUGAAGCUCAAAAGAAUUGACGGGGACCCGCACAAGCAGUGGGGCAUGUGGUUUAAUUCGAUGCAACGCGAAGAACCUUACCCAGGCUUGACAUGCAGGUGAAUGUACCAGAGAUGAUACAGUCUUUCGAGACACCUGUGCAGGUGCUGCAUGGCUGUCGUCAGCUCGUGCCGUGAGGUGUUGGGUUAAGUCCCGCAACGAGCGCAACCCUUGUCGUUAGUUACCAGCAAUAUAUAGAUGGGGACUCUAACGAGACUGCCUGGGUUAACCAGGAGGAAGGUGAGGAUGACGUCAAGUCAGCAUGGCCCUUAUGUCUGGGGCUACACACGUGCUACAAUGGUCGGUACAAAAGGCGGCAAAGCCGGAAGGCCUAGCAAAUCCUAGAAAGCCGAUCUCAGUUCGGAUUGUAGUCUGCAACUCGACUACAUGAAGCUGGAAUUGCUAGUAAUGGCGUGUCAGCAACAACGCCGUGAAUACGUUCCCGGGUCUUGUACACACCGCCCGUCACAUCAUGGAAGUUGGUUUUACCCGAAGUCACUGACCAAACCGCAGGGCGGAAGUGCCUAAGGUAGAGCUGAUAACUGGGAUGAAGUCGUAACAAGGUA
This 1401-nucleotide ribosomal RNA is filed under the name metagenome. RNAcentral's name for it is "bacterial SSU rRNA". It matches the Rfam family "Bacterial small subunit ribosomal RNA". The record is from RNAcentral.